GGGUUUAUUUGAUUCAUUUCACCAGCAAUCCUGCAUCUUCAACACAGAGGCUAAAUGUAUAGUUUAUCAAUUGGAACUCCGUUACAGAUUUGCCCUCCAUGGACACUUUUGGGACCCUAUACUACAUGUGAGCAGAGAGACAGCACUGGAAGAUGCUUUCCAGCACAUUCGACAAAGUGGGCACGACUUCACAAUGCCUUUGGAGGUGAAGUUUCAAGCAGAGCAUGGUGUAGAUGAAGGUGGCGUUUCACUGGAAUUCUUCAGCCUCCUGGGGAGGGAAAUUCUCACAAUGGAACCAAAGACACUGGAGGUUUACGAGGACUCUGGACUAGUGUGGUUCACGACAGAUGACAGCGGUAUUACUGAUGAAUUCUACUUACUUGGGCUGCUCUGUGGGAUGGCACUGUAUAAUCAGUGUGUUCUGAACCUCUGCUUCCCUCUGGCUCUCUUCAAGAAGCUUCUGGGUCUGACGACAACAUUUGAUGACCUUAAAGAGAUCUCUUUCACUGAAGCAAGGUACAAUUAUUCCAUGGAAAAAUAUAUACAGGUAACUGCCAAAAUAAAGGAAACACCAACAUAAAGUGUCUUAAAGUUCCAAUGCAACCAUUUUUAUCUCACUAUCAAAUCAUAUCUGGGUAACAAUUAAGCACCUUACUGUGAUUGUUUUCAAUUAAAAUGGUCAAAAGAAAGAGAAAUUGCUUCGCAAAGGACAAUUUCUCAAGCAAGAAUUUUGCAAGGACUGUAUAGGAAUGCUCUUAGUGGGGAACGGAAAACUGAAAAUAUGCUGUU
Molecule: long non-coding RNA, 789 nt
Organism: Coregonus clupeaformis (lake whitefish)
Lineage: Eukaryota; Metazoa; Chordata; Actinopteri; Salmoniformes; Salmonidae
Exons: 4
Source: RefSeq, a predicted model, not a curated record